CUCAGCUCCGCUUGGUUGCUGGCUCCCUGAGGACCCUGAGGGAUAGGAAUGGAUAUCUGAGGGGCGCGAGGGGCCAGGGGACCAACAAAUCCCACCUGAGGCCCAGGUUCCUGAACAAGGGAGACAAGGGGCCAGGAGACACAAGCCCCAGACCAAAGGACUCCUGCCCAUGUAGGAAUCAUGGGGAGGAGAUGAAAGGUGACCUCCAGAGGGCCUUCAGAAACAUCUGAUUGACUUGGGAGGUUCAGAGGUUGGGCAGACAAAGGCAGGACAGGCCAAGAACUUAAAGUCUGAAAGAAAAUCUCAUGGAAAACAGUGUUGGGAUAUCUGGACAUGUCUCCUCACAGGAAUCCUGGGGAGGAGAUGAAAGGUGACCUCCAGAGGGCCUUCAGAAACAUCUGAUUGACUUGGGAGGUUCAGAGGUCAGGCAGACGAAGGCAGGACAGUCUGAGAACCUUAACUCCUAAAGAAAAUCUCUUGGGAAAAUAUGGUGGAAGAUCUGGACAUAUUUCCUCCUAGGAAUCCUGGGGAGGAGAGGAAAGGUGACCUCCAGAGGGCCUUCAGAAACAUCUGACUGACUUGGGAGGUUCAGAGGUCGGGCAGACAAAGGCAGGACAGCCUGAGAACCUGGAGUCCUGAGGAAAAUCUCAUGGAAAAUUAUGUUGGGAUAUCUGGACAUAUCUCCCCAGAGGAAUCAUGGGGAGGAGAUGAAAGGUGACCUCCAGAGGGCCUUCAGAAACAUCGGAUUGACUUGGGAAGUUCAGAGGUUGGGCAGACAAAGGCAGGACCACCUAAAAACCUGAAGUCCUCACGAAUAUCUGAUGGGAAAAGAUGGUGGAAGAUUUGAACAUAUCUCCACAGGUGAGUAUUCCUAUCUUUCAGGUGUAUUUUCACAGGCAUGAGUAGUCACCCCUCCAUGUAUGCAUCUGAGAAUUCAUAUGUUUUCUCUGUAUGUUAAUUCUCUCCUAUACUUGCUUUUUAUCCCUAUUUCCAUAUGCCUAGGUCCACUCUACAAAUGAAUCUAUAGCUAUAAGUUCUCCUACAUUGUCAUAUUAUAUUUAUAUUUAUAUAUAUAUAUCCAUAAAAUAUGAGCUAUGGUGUAUACACAGUAUAUAUCUAUACACAUAGACUAUGUUGUUUCUUCUGACUCAUAUAUGUUCUCUGUUGGUGUUUAUGAGCAAUUGUACCACUGUUCUAUAUUCCUCUAAGGAUACUUCAUUUGUGUGUACAUAUUCACUCCACAGUCCUCUAUGUACAGGUACCUUUAUCCUCUGUCUACAUUUCCAUAUAUGAGGACAUGUAGACACUGGACACUCACAGACAUGGGUCUUCAGGUAUUCUCUGCCUGUCAGAGAAGCAGUAGAAUACUUUUAGCAAUAGUGAGAGGAUAUAGGAGGGGCAGCUAGGUGGUGCAGUGGAUAGAGCACCGGCCCUGGAGUUAGGAAGACCUGAGUUCAAAUAUGACCUCAGACACUUAAAACUUACUAGCUGUGUGAUCCUGGGCAAGUCACUUAAGCCCAAUUGCCUCACCCCCAAAAGAACAACAAAAAAAAGAGGAUAUAGGAGACCUGAUAUAUGUCAAGAGAGAGAAUGUAUGUAUGUAUGUAUGUAUGUAUGUAUGUAUGUAUAUAUAUGUAGAUAAAAAUAAAUGUAUCGAAUAAAUGUGGGUACUCAGAUGUGAAUAGAGAACGAAAAUAUAAGUGCUCAUCCACGUAGAAAUUGAAAGAAUGAUUGUUAAUGUUUAUGAGUGGAAAGAAGUUAUAAAUAAUAUGAAAGAAUUAAUGAAAAAAGUAAAAUGACUUUAUAAGGGAAUGAAAAAAACCUGAGUACAUAUAUGAGAAUAUAUUCUGUCUUCCUAUUAUAAGGUACCUUAUCUAUAUAAUUAUCAACAUGAGUGUUCAGUUGUAAUGUA
Molecule: long non-coding RNA, 1912 nt
Organism: Dromiciops gliroides (monito del monte)
Lineage: Eukaryota; Metazoa; Chordata; Mammalia; Microbiotheria; Microbiotheriidae
Exons: 5
Source: RefSeq, a predicted model, not a curated record